UACCAGGAUACAGGUGAAUCCAAUUUGGUGG
RNAcentral lists this non-coding RNA (31 nucleotides) under Mus musculus (house mouse). The record is from RNAcentral. Lineage: Eukaryota; Metazoa; Chordata; Mammalia; Rodentia; Muridae.